Molecule: non-coding RNA, 123 nt
Organism: Triticum aestivum (bread wheat)
Lineage: Eukaryota; Viridiplantae; Streptophyta; Magnoliopsida; Poales; Poaceae
Source: Rfam
GUAGUACUCCCUCCGUCCCAAAAUAAGUGACUCAAAACUUACUCAACUUUGUACUUAGUACAAAGUUAAGUACAAAGUUGAGUAAGUUUUGAGUCACUUAUUUUGGAACGGAGGGAGUAUUAG